RNAcentral lists this ribosomal RNA (439 nucleotides) under uncultured bacterium. Its description in RNAcentral is "partial 16S ribosomal RNA". It matches the Rfam family "Bacterial small subunit ribosomal RNA", at positions 339 to 795 of the family's 1533-position model. The record is from RNAcentral.
CUACGGGCUGCUGCAGUGAGGAAUAUUGCACAAUGGGGGGAACCCUGAUGCAGCAACGCCGCGUGGAGGAUGACGCAUUUCGGUGUGUAAACUCCUUUUAUAUGUCAAGAAAAUGACGGUAGCAUAUGAAUAAGCACCGGCUAACUCCGUGCCAGCAGCCGCGGUAAUACGGAGGGUGCAAGCGUUACUCGGAACCACUGGGCGUAAAGGACGCGUAGGCGGGCUUGUAAGUCAGGUGUGAAAUCCUACAGCUUAACUGUAGAACUGCACUUGAAACUACGAGCCUAGAGUAUGGGAGGGGGAGAUGGAAUUAGUGGUGUAGGGGUAAAAUCCGUAGAUAUCACUAGGAAUACCUAAAGCGAAGGCGAUCUCCUGGAACAUAACUGACGCUAAGGCGUGAAAGCGUGGGGAGCAAACAGGAUUAGAUACCCGCGUAGUC